RNAcentral lists this ribosomal RNA (1361 nucleotides) under Triticum aestivum (bread wheat). RNAcentral's name for it is "partial small subunit ribosomal RNA". The record is from RNAcentral. Lineage: Eukaryota; Viridiplantae; Streptophyta; Magnoliopsida; Poales; Poaceae.
GAGGAGAGGGGGGAGGGUUAGCGGUGGUGGCGGCGGCAUAAGGGGAGGGCGAAGGCGUAGGGGCGGCAGCGCGGCGCAGUCCGCGAGAAGCCGCCUUCUCAUCCCAACUCCCACGGGCGCUCUGACAGUUGCUCCCCUCACUCGCGGCCGCGCCUCCGCUCGCCCGGGCGUCGAGCUCGCCGGUGCCACUAGUCGGGACUCCUCCGGCACCUCACCCAGUUCUUCCUGGCCUCCGCGGACGAGGUGCAGCAGAUGGCGCAGCCGCUAGAACUGUUCUGAUAGUUCAAAAUAUGCCUCACGAAUCCCUACUUCGACGACGCCUCUUCCCUGUAGGGCCUCCUCUCCAUGUGGUUGCGGAAAGAACCCAUGCCUGGUCUCCUGAGCGUAAAACAACACCUCGAGUGAAUGUUGAUACCACAGCUUUCAAUGCUAUAACCCAGACCAAAACCAGUAAAACCUUAACGACAACUCCUACAGCUUUUUUGUCACCUUGAAUAAUUUCGUUUCCCUCCUUGUCAUUGUUCCCUUGGUCCAGGCCAUUUUCCACCUUUCAGUCAGUAACGGAAGUAACUUCUAGGACUACCAAUGUUUAAGCUCGAAUAUCUUUCUCCAGGGUGUGGACUCGGAAACACGGUUCAUUACGAAGCUCACCCUCUAGAACUGGCACGAUAUUCAAAGAUACUCUUCCGUAAACCAUACCUUGAAGAAGCGUCCUUUCUGUUAGGAGUUAUGUUCAUAUGGUAACGAUACUACCCUAUACCGGGACUUCUGUUUGUACGACAUGACCUCAACUGUAUGUUAAUACCACAGUUCCUUAUACUAUUUCCUUUACGAAUACGUGUCUAACGAUAACCAUGACUACUACAGAUGUUCUGGCGCCUUCAGCAAUCUGUUUUGCCCCCUGUUUAUUGAGCACUUGGACCAGGUAAUGGACCGUAAUCAUGGUUCUAUUGACGGACGUGUCUAGGUCUACCGACCUUUAGUCAUAAACAACUGUUAGAUCUAAAAGAGUUCCUCAACCUUCUUACUCAAAAGUCCUUCUACAGUAGAAGCUUGUCCAAAGUAACCCGAAAAAGGAGCUCAACGAUCGUGGGGGGUUACUUUAGAACAUUUUCGGAGAUUCGCUCCAAACAUCUAUCCAACAGGUUAGAUGACACAGUAGCGACCAACAAGUAUCCCUUAAUCCAAACGAUGAAGAAUACUACAUCUACACGUUAGGCAAAACAAUCGCCUCAUUUUAAUAUACACGUAAAAUAAGAAGACUGUUCGGUCUGUCAUAAGGGUCCAUACGUAAACAAGGACGUAAGUCUUAAACUCUACUUGAUUAGAAACGUGUACUCGAGUAAGAAACGAGCAAGUUU